Long non-coding RNA from Homo sapiens (human), 425 nucleotides. Ensembl annotates it as maternally expressed 9. Its record names the gene MEG9. NCBI's taxonomy places the organism in Eukaryota, Metazoa, Chordata, Mammalia, Primates, Hominidae. The record is from Ensembl.
AGGAAAGCGAACGUCCAGCUGAAGAGAGGAGAAGCCCUAGAAGUGAUACAGGCUCUGGCCGGGGGACCCGAUGUGCUCGUGUCGCGGCGUGGGGCUUGGUGAGGAACCACCGGAGUGCUCUUGCAUUUUUCAUGACAAAGACCACACAGUUGGCCUCAUUCCUGCACAGUGGGAGAAUGUGUGGAGGUGUCCCGCCACCAGAGAGGAGGUCUAUGUCAGCACCAUCACCAGCAUCCAGGCUACCUACAAGAGGAGGCAGGGGGACUCCUCUGACACACCUGGGGAGGUCUCGUCAAUGGCAGGUUCCCUCUACAAUGCUUUCUCUGCUGCAAAUGCAACUCAGCAUCACCUCUUUCCUGGAUAUAAUUCCAAGGAAUUAUUAAAGGAGGCAUUGGUGUCAGCACCUCGUGAAAUACUCGUAAGGA